Molecule: ribosomal RNA, 429 nt
Filed under: Bacteroidota bacterium
Lineage: Bacteria; Pseudomonadati; Bacteroidota
Description: Bacteroidetes bacterium partial 16S ribosomal RNA
Rfam family: Bacterial small subunit ribosomal RNA
Source: RNAcentral
UAGGGAAUCUUCCGCAAUGGGCGAAAGCUUGACGGAGCAACGCCGCGUGAGUGAUGAAGGUCUUCGGAUCGUAAAACUCUGUUAUUAGGGAAGAACAAGUGUGUAAGUAACUAUGCACGUCUUGACGGUACCUAAUCAGAAAGCCACGGCUAACUACGUGCCAGCAGCCGCGGUAAUACGUAGGUGGCAAGCGUUAUCCGGAAUUAUUGGGCGUAAAGCGCGCGUAGGCGGUUUUUUAAGUCUGAUGUGAAAGCCCACGGCUCAACCGUGGAGGGUCAUUGGAAACUGGAAAACUUGAGUGCAGAAGAGGAGAGUGGAAUUCCAUGUGUAGCGGUGAAAUGCGUAGAUAUAUGGAGGAACACCAGUGGCGAAGGCGACUCUCUGGUCUGUAACUGACGCUGAGGCUCGAAAGCGUGGGUAGCAAACAGG